Leptopilina boulardi is the source of this 1988-nucleotide RNA transcript. RefSeq lists it as uncharacterized. The record is from RefSeq and is a predicted model, not a curated record. Lineage: Eukaryota; Metazoa; Arthropoda; Insecta; Hymenoptera; Figitidae. The transcript has 11 exons.
UUCACAUUAUUUUUUUUUUUGCCAAUAUAGCAUAGAUACUGAAGCGAAAUGGAUAUAUUAGAAAAUCCAUACUACACUCUAACUAAAUAUGUUAUAAUAGCAACAGGACAAAGUCCUUAUCAUCCAAAGUGGUUAAAAUUUUUGAUAAAAUCUUACUAUUCAUUUGUUAUACUGUCUUGUUCCGUUGGGCAGAUUGUAGGUCUUACAGAAAUAUAUGGUGAUAUUGAUUUGGUACUGGAGUGCAUUCCACCACUCUGUUUCGCAUCAAUAAGUAUUAUAAUUUUAAUAAACAACAAUGUCCAAGAAAAACAAAUGAUUCUUGUUUUCUCAAAAAUGCAAAGUGAUUGGAAAACUUUAACAUCAAAACAUGAUGCCUAUGUUUUAUGCAAAUAUGCAAAAAGAAGUAAAUUUUAUAAUGCGUUUUACCUAGUUGGUUUUUUGGGAAAUCUUACUGUCUUCUUAUUUUCACGUACUAUUUUUUUGCUCAUUUAUUUUCUAAAUGAUAGUUAUGAAAUUAGACCUGUUUUAGCUAUUGUUGAUUUUGGUAUAGAUCCAGAAAAAUAUUAUUAUUGGAUAUCAAUACAUCUUCAUCUUUGUGCUUACUUAGGUUCUGUUUUAACUAUAAGUGGAACUAUGAUUUUUACAAUGUUAAUUGAACAUGCUUGUGGAAUAUUUGAAAUUAUAGGACACAAAUUGACAAUUGCUCUUGAGGAAUACCAAAACCAGAGUAACGAACUAAUUUUUAAAAAAAAGUUUCAGCGAGAAAUAAUACUUUGUGUGAGAAUGCAUAGAAGGGUUCUAUCAUUUGUCAAUGAUAUUCAGAAGUUGUUUUCAACUGCGUAUUUUUUUAUAUUUGGAUUCUGUAUAGUUGAUUUAAGCAUCACGGGAGUUCAGGCUGUAAUGAAUCUAGAUAAUGCCAGGGAAGCCACAAGAUAUGGACUUCAUUCAGUUGCUCAAAUUCUUAAUAUUCUUUUUUUAACUUUUCCAACUCAACAUUUAAUAGAUACGAGCACUUGCAUUUCCGACUGCAUAUAUAGUGCAAGUUGGUAUCAUUUGACAUCCGAAAAUCAAAAAUGGUUACUGAUCAUAAUGAGAAGAGGCGCUGAACCUACAAAACUGGUUGUUGGAAGAGUAUUUAUACUUUCUUUGGAGUUUUUUAAAAAGAUGUAUGUAAUUUUCUCAAAAAUGUAAAAUGACUGGGAAACAUUGACAUCAAAACAUGAAGCCUAUGUCUUACACAAAUAUGGCAAUAGGUGCAAAUUAUAUAAUACAGUUUACUGCGUUGGAUAUAUUGGCAGUGUUACAAUUUUCAUGGUUUCACGUUGUAUUUUUUUAUUAUUUCGUUUCACUGAAGAUAGUAAUGAACCUAGGCCGCUCCUAACUCCUGUUGACUAUGGUGUAGAUGAAGAAAAAUAUUACUAUUCUAUAUUAGUGAUGAGUCAUUUCUAUGGUUACGUAGGUACUAUUUUGUUAGUGAAUGGAGCUAUGGUUUUUUCAAUGCUACUUGAACAUUCUUGUGGAAUAUUUGAAAUUAUAGGGCAUAAAUUGACAUCUGCUAUUACGGAAAAUCAAGGUAGCAGUAAGAAACUUAGUUUUGAAAAAAAUCUUCAGCAAGGAAUAAUACUUUGUGUUAAAAUGCAUAAAAGUGUUUUAUUGUUUGUAUAACACAAAUUUUAUCUUAAUCUAAAGAAUUAUUAUAGUUACCCUAAUAGCAUCUAGAUAUUCAAGAUGUCUUACAGACGUUGGAGGAAUAUCCGUUUGUCCAUAGGAUAUCCUGAUAUUUUUGUUUCUGUGAGGGUAAAUGCAAAUAGGACUUAUAAUUUUCAUUAAUCGUAAUAUUUUAUUUUUCAAGAUUUGUCAACUAUAUCGAGAAGUUUCUUUCGAUUACGUAUUUUUUAGUAUUUGGAAUCUGUGUAAUUAAUUUAAGUUUGACGGGAGUUCAGGUAAAUAAUUCACAUCGAUAAUAAUAAAAAAAUACGGACACGCAA